This 1238-nucleotide long non-coding RNA is filed under the name Bemisia tabaci. Its description in RNAcentral is "lncRNA ENSASIAIIG012540". Lineage: Eukaryota; Metazoa; Arthropoda; Insecta; Hemiptera; Aleyrodidae. The record is from RNAcentral.
AUGAUCAUCGUCGUCGCGCUUAUCUAUUUCCUAACCUCGAGCGUCCUCAAUGUCCAGUCCUACAUCCUCGGCCGCAGAGUCUCCGAGGACUCAUGUCGCAUAUCCUUGAGCCGGGACCUGGCCACGAUCCCGUCGCUGAUGAUCAACGAGAGCGCGGGGACCCUCAUCUACCCGACAGAGGAUGACGUCAUCGUCCUGGCUCCCAACGCCGAGUUCCUCCUGUACUGCCCGUCCGGCUUCGCCGAGCGCCGGAUCCAGCCGAGGGGCAUCAGGGUCGUCUGCAAGCGGGACAGCUCGGUCGUAUACGGCAACGCCACCUACCGGAUCAACCAACUCGGCUGCACCAAGCACCCCGAUUCCACCCUCCGCCGAACCGGAGCCACCUGCUCGCAAGGGAACUACACGCUCCUUCACGUGGGCUACGAGUAUGAGUCUGAAGAGAGUCCCAGCGUCGGCGGUGAAGGAGAUGAUGGAGGGAACGGCGUGGGUCUCGACAACGACGUCGAUGCGGACGAGGAGGAGACGGAAACGGGUCGAAACGAAACCGGAAAUGGUAUCGAAGCGGAGACGGAAGUGAGCCGGGAUGAAACCGGAAAUGAGAUCCGUGGAGUUGAAGCGGAGACAGAAGUGAGUGUGAGUGAAAGUGGAGACAGCGUUCGUGUAGUCGAAUCGGGAAUGGAAACAGACGCAGAUGAAACCGGAAAUGGGGUCCGUGCGGUCGAAGCGGAGACAGAAGUAAGUGUGGAUGAAAGUGGAGAUGGCAUUCGAGGAGGCGAAUCGGGCAAGGAAACGGACGCUGAUGAAACCGGAAAUGAGGUCCUUGCUGUCGAAGCGGAGACAGAAGUAAGUGUGGAUGAAAGUGGAGAUGGCGUUCAAGGAGUCGAGCCGGAAAAGGAAACGGUCGCAUAUGAAACCGGGAAUGGGGCCGUGCGGUCGAAGCGGGGACAGAAGUAAGUGUGGAUGAAAGUGGAAGUGGCAUUCGAGGAGGCGCAUCGGGUAAGGAAACGGACGCUGAUAAAACCGGAAAUGAGGUCCGUGUAGUCAGAGUGGAAGUAGAAGAGGAUGAGGAGAAGACGGCAGAAGUGAAGAUGGAAAUCGGAAUGGGUGAAACCGGAAAUGGUUUCCGUACCAUGAAGCCCGAUCAUUUCAGUGGUAAACUCAAGGUUGGUAAGCAGGGAGGAGCCGCGCCGACAACUACGAAUGGAGGAGUUAAGAAUGAUUUUGAGCUGAGAAACUUG